GGCCUGUUAGCUCAGCUGGCUAGAGCAUGGUGCUAAUAUCGCCAAGUUCAUGGGUUCCAUCCCCACAUGGGCCA
RNAcentral lists this transfer RNA (74 nucleotides) under Danionella translucida. It matches the Rfam family "tRNA". From Rfam's summary of the family: Transfer RNA (tRNA) molecules are approximately 80 nucleotides in length. RNAcentral also lists the same sequence under 1 other name. The record is from Rfam by way of RNAcentral. Lineage: Eukaryota; Metazoa; Chordata; Actinopteri; Cypriniformes; Danionidae.